RNAcentral lists this ribosomal RNA (253 nucleotides) under uncultured bacterium. Its description in RNAcentral is "partial 16S ribosomal RNA". It matches the Rfam family "Bacterial small subunit ribosomal RNA", at positions 524 to 776 of the family's 1533-position model. The record is from RNAcentral.
UACGAAGGGGGCUAGCGUUGCUCGGAAUGACUGGGCGUAAAGGGCGCGUAGGCGGAUCACGCAGUCAGAUGUGAAAUUCCUGGGCUUAACCUGGGGGCUGCAUUUGAGACGCGUGGUCUAGAGUGUGAAAGAGGGUCGUGGAAUUCCCAGUGUAGAGGUGAAAUUCGUAGAUAUUGGGAAGAACACCGGUGGCGAAGGCGGCGACCUGGUUCACAACUGACGCUGAGGCGCGAAAGCGUGGGGAGCAAACAGG